RNAcentral lists this ribosomal RNA (497 nucleotides) under uncultured bacterium. RNAcentral's name for it is "partial 16S ribosomal RNA". It matches the Rfam family "Bacterial small subunit ribosomal RNA", at positions 28 to 507 of the family's 1533-position model. The record is from RNAcentral.
GAUGAACGCUGGCGGCGUGCCUAAUACAUGCAAGUCGAGCGAACAGACGAGGAGCUUGCUCCUCUGACGUUAGCGGCGGACGGGUGAGUAACACGUGGGUAACCUACCUAUAAGACUGGGAUAACUUCGGGAAACCGGAGCUAAUACCGGAUAAUAUUUGGAACCGCAUGGUUCUAUAGUGAAAGAUGGUUUUGCUAUCACUUAUAGAUGGAUCCGCGCCGUAUUAGCUAGUUGGUAAGGUAACGGCUUACCAAGGCGACGAUACGUAGCCGACCUGAGAGGGUGAUCGGCCACACUGGAACUGAGACACGGUCCAGACUCCUACGGGAGGCAGCAGUAGGGAAUCUUCCGCAAUGGGCGAAAGCCUGACGGAGCAACGCCGCGUGAGUGAUGAAGGUCUUCGGAUCGUAAAACUCUGUUAUUAGGGAAGAACAAAUGUGUAAGUAACUAUGCACGUCUUGACGGUACCUAAUCAGAAAGCCACGGCUAACUACGUG